AGCGAACGCUGGCGGCAGGCCUAACACAUGCAAGUCGAACGAACCUUUCGGGGUUAGUGGCGGACGGGUGAGUAACACGUGGGAACGUGCCUUUAGGUUCGGAAUAACUCAGGGAAACUUGUGCUAAUACCGAAUGUGCCCUUCGGGGGAAAGAUUAAUCGCCUUUAGAUCGGCCCGUGUCUGAUUAGCUAGUUGGUUGGGGUAAUGGCUCACCAAGGCGACGAUCAGUAGCUGGUCUGAGAGGAUGAUCAGCCACAUUGGGACUGAGACACGGCCUCAACUGCGACGGGAGGCAGCAGUGGGGAAUCUUGCGGAAUGGGCGAAAGCCUGACGAAGCCAUGCCGCGUGAAUGAUGAAGGUCUUAGGAUUGUAAAAUUCUUUCACCGGGGACGAUAAUGACGGUAACCGGAGAAGAAGCCCCGGCUAACUUCGUG
RNAcentral lists this ribosomal RNA (434 nucleotides) under uncultured bacterium. RNAcentral's name for it is "partial 16S ribosomal RNA". It matches the Rfam family "Bacterial small subunit ribosomal RNA", at positions 29 to 507 of the family's 1533-position model. The record is from RNAcentral.